RNAcentral lists this ribosomal RNA (253 nucleotides) under uncultured bacterium. RNAcentral's name for it is "partial 16S ribosomal RNA". It matches the Rfam family "Bacterial small subunit ribosomal RNA", at positions 524 to 776 of the family's 1533-position model. The record is from RNAcentral.
UACAGAGGGUGCAAGCGUUAAUCGGAAUUACUGGGCGUAAAGCGUGCGUAGACGGUUAUGUAAGUCAGGUGUGAAAGCCCCGGGCUCAACCUGGGAAUGGCAUUUGAGACUGCAUAGCUAGGGUGCGGAAGAGGGAAGCGGAAUUCCCGGUGUAGCGGUGAAAUGCGUAGAUAUCGGAAGGAACAUCAGUGGCGAAAGCGGCUUCCUGGUCCAGCACCGACGUUCAGGCACGAAAGCGUGGGGAGCAAACAGG